UACAGAGGGGGCAAGCGUUGUUCGGAAUUACUGGGCGUAAAGUGUGCGCAGGUGGCCGCGCAAGUCGAGUGUGAAAUCCCCGGGCUUAACUUGGGAAUUGCGCUCGAAACUACGUGGCUCGAGUGUGGCAGAGGGAGGUGGAAUUCCACGUGUAGCGGUGAAAUGCGUAGAGAUGUGGAGGAACACCAAUGGCGAAGGCAGCCUCCUGGGCCAACACUGACACUCAGGCACGAAAGCGUGGGGAGCAAACAGG
Molecule: ribosomal RNA, 253 nt
Filed under: uncultured bacterium
Lineage: Bacteria
Description: partial 16S ribosomal RNA
Rfam family: Bacterial small subunit ribosomal RNA
Source: RNAcentral